This 944-nucleotide ribosomal RNA is filed under the name uncultured archaeon. RNAcentral's name for it is "bacterial SSU rRNA". It matches the Rfam family "Archaeal small subunit ribosomal RNA", at positions 1 to 922 of the family's 1478-position model. The record is from RNAcentral.
UUCCGGUUGAUCCUGCCGGACCCCACUGCUAUCGGGAUAGGACUAAGACAUGCUAGUUGAGCGCUUCCAGCCAACACGGGAGCGCAGCGCACAGCUCAGUAACACGUGGCUAAUCUGCCCUUGGGACCGGAACACCCCCGGGAAACUGGGGCUAAUUCUCGAUAGGUGAAGAACUCUGGAAUGAGUCUUUGCCAAAAAGACGUUUACGUUAUGCUCGUAGGCGUCGCCCAAGGAUGAGGCCGCGACCGAUCAGGUUGUUGGUGAGGUAAUGGCUCACCAAGCCUUUUACCGGUGCGGGCCGUGAGAGCGGGAGCCCGGAGAUGGGCACUGAGACAAGGGCCCAGGCCCUACGGGGCGCAGCAGUCGCGAAAACUUUGCAAUGCACGAAAGUGUGACAGGGCUAUCCCGAGUGCCAUCCGCUGAGGAAGGCUUUUACCCAGUCUAGAACGCUGGGGGAAUAAGGAGAGGGCAAGUCUGGUGUCAGCCGCCGCGGUAAUACCAGCUCUCCGAGUGGUGUGGAUGUUUAUUGGGCCUAAAGCAUCCGUAGCUGGCUAAGUUAGUCCUUUGUUAAAUCCACCGAAUUAAUCGUUGGAUUGCGGGGGAUACUGCUUGGCUAGGGGACGAGAGAGGCAGACGGUAUUUCCGGGGUAGGGGUGAAAUCCUAUAAUCCCGGGAAGACCACCAGUGGCGAAGGCUGUCUGCUAGAACGCGCCCGACGGUGAGGGAUGAAAGCUGGGGGAGCGAACCGGAUUAGAUACCCGGGUAGUCCCAGCUGUAAACGAUGCAGGCUAGGUGUUUGGACGGCCACGUGCCGUUCUAGUGCCGCAGGGAAGCUGUUAAGCCUGCCGCCUGGGGAGUACGAUCGCAAGAUUGAAACUUAAAGGAAUUGGCGGGGGAGCACCACAAGGGGUGAAGCUUGCGGUUUAAUUGGAGUCAACGCCGGG